RNAcentral lists this long non-coding RNA (2138 nucleotides) under Paramuricea clavata. The record is from RNAcentral. Lineage: Eukaryota; Metazoa; Cnidaria; Anthozoa; Malacalcyonacea; Plexauridae.
CACAUGGACCCCCUGCACGUUUAAGAUAUUUUUUCAGGUAGUUCAGACAUAAACCACCGCCAGCUUAUUUCCCGAUAUCUUUCUAAAUCGUAACUUCGUACUUGGUUUGAUAGGUAAAGUGUGUAACAGAGAUCACUGAUGUCACUUGUGAAGACGCGAGCAGCACGUGUAGCAAGAACAAUUGUGUGUGAUUAUUAUGGUCAUAAACAAGAAAAAAGUAAAUCUCAUUUAAAAUGCACCUGACGAAAGUAUGUAGGAGAAUCAUGACAUAAACAUCUCGUAUAUUACGAACAAUUUCCAACAUAGCAAUUAUCAUACAUAAUUCUUUGGACUGCUUUACAAACGUCUAUAGAAAAGGGACACCUGUCUCGUGGAAUAGAGUGCUUUCUUCACUCUAAAAACACGUACCCUGGUUUAAACAUUUCCUGGUUAAUCUAAACUUGAUGCUGUUUGGGGUAACUUAAUGCUUCUGCAUGGUUAAACAUUUUGGUUGAUUUAACCACAAUCCUGGUUAACUUAGUUCUGGCCAAUUUAACCACCAGGGGCCGGUUGUUCAAAAGUGGGUUAGCGCUAACCCGCAUGGGUUAAAAUAUAACCUGCUGUUUUAGUUUGUGUAUUUCUGCACGUCUGUUUCUUUCGAAACUUCAGAGAAGUAAACUCCUGUCAAUCCACACAAGAUCUCUGAUGAAAUACUUCCAAAUUUAUAGACAAGCUGUCAGGACGUUCGCUUUGAAUUUUACGUUAACCUAGGGUUAAACUAACUCAGCUUUGAACAACCGGCCCCUGAUCAUUUCUGGUUAAUUUGAUCCGGCUAUAUGGUUGAAUUAACCAGAUAAUGAUAGGUGAACUAUUAACCAGGAAUUUGCUCGGCCACUACGUAUAUUUAUAAACAUUUUGAAUGUUCUAGUUUGAACACAAUCCAUUAGUGAUUCUCUAAAUUGCUUUCUUAGACUUUCACUCUGGAACAUUCGUGACUGCUGAACCUUUAAAAUAUGAUAAUCUACAUUUCUUUUAUCGUGGCCUCUUAGUUGUCUUUAACUUAUGUAGUUAACAGUAACUGGCGUUUUAAUUAAAAUAUAUAAAUUCAAUAAAACACAAUCUCUGACACAGAACUGUGUUAGCUAGAAAAGCAUUCGGAGAAAGAGUAUGCAUGGCCGAUGUUUUCUUAACUGAACAAACACAGCACAUAGGCAACAAUGAAAUGAAUAAAAAAAUAUCGGUAAAGAGAAAGUGAAACGUGAACCAUGCUAGCCGUGAGUAGUAUAACAUGGCACUGGGUCAGAAAUUGCGUUGUCAUGCAGUCUGUAGCAAAAAUGUUUCAAAGAUUUUAUAUUUACUGUGAGUCUGUGUAGACCUUAGCUAUGAACAUAGUCAUAGACGCGACGCCGAGCUCAUCAUCCUGCAGUGAUCUCUGUAUGUACAGCCGAACAAACAUCCGAUACAGUGACAUGACAGGAUUAUUGUAAACGACUAGUCGUAUCUAGUGAUAAUAGAGACCUUACGAUUUUAGGACGGCAACGCGACGGCGACCGGGCCAAAACAAACUCCUUCAAAUAAAUGGUAGUAAAGAUAGUUCGUGGUAUAUUAUCAAUCGUAUGAAUUUAAUACAGUUUUAGAAGUUGAAGAUAUGGGUUUUAUGGUUGGGAAGAGUUCUGCUAAACCCAGUUUGAAGUUGCACUUGUUGCGGCUUGGAAUGCAGCCGUUGUAUCAAGACGUGAAAAUCUGUGAUUUGGCGUUGUAAACAGAGCGAGGACAAUGUCUAAGUUAUUCAUAUAUUGUAAUUACUCAAUUCUUUUCAAUGAUGUGUUGUACUGGUAGCCGUUGCCGUCGCGUUGCCGUCCUAAAAUCGUAAGGUCUCUAAUGACGGCCGUACUGUGACCACUGUUCCUACGCAAUAAUAUCAGUCAAGCGUAAUUUGCAACUUUUGGGUAGUGAUGUUUUGGGGUUGUUCGACACUAAGUUGACAUAGCUAGCUUUUAUGUAAUUAAAGUACGUAUUUCUUGAAAUAGGGAUUGUGGUUUCCGUAUCUUACCGAAAGAAUUUAAUAAAAAUGAGUUAAAUGAAUGUACAUACGGUAUCUUAUCGACUUAUACAUACUUAUUGUCCAUUUUUAAAUGCAAAUACAAAUUUAUUACUAA